AUCCUUUGCUCGGUGGAAUAUC
RNAcentral lists this microRNA (22 nucleotides) under Pristionchus pacificus. Its description in RNAcentral is "ppc-miR-8213-3p". The record is from miRBase by way of RNAcentral. Lineage: Eukaryota; Metazoa; Nematoda; Chromadorea; Rhabditida; Neodiplogasteridae.